CCUACGGGCGGCAGCAGUGAGGAAUAUUGGUCAAUGGACGAGAGUCUGAACCAGCCAAGUAGCGUGAAGGAUGACUGCCCUAUGGGUUGUAAACUUCUUUUAUAUGGGAAUAAAAUGUUCCACGUGUGGGAUUUUGUAUGUACCAUAUGAAUAAGGAUCGGCUAACUCCGUGCCAGCAGCCGCGGUAAUACGGAGGAUCCGAGCGUUAUCCGGAUUUAUUGGGUUUAAAGGGAGCGUAGGUGGAUUGUUAAGUCAGUUGUGAAAGUUUGCGGCUCAACCGUAGAAGUGCAGUUGAAACUGGGAGUCUUGAGUACAGGAGAGGUGGGCGGAAUUCGUGGUGUAGCGGUGAAAUGCUUAGAUAUCACGAAGAACUCCGAUUGCGAAGGCAGCUCACUGGACUUCAACUGACACUGAGGCUCGAAAGUGUGGGUAUCAAACAGGAUUAGAUACCCCUGUAGUC
Molecule: ribosomal RNA, 460 nt
Filed under: uncultured bacterium
Lineage: Bacteria
Description: partial 16S ribosomal RNA
Rfam family: Bacterial small subunit ribosomal RNA
Source: RNAcentral